CUAUCGAUCCCCAUACGGCUGUACCCUACCUGUAGGUGCGCCUGUUCGGUUGCUCGUUGGCUCGGCUUCUGCGCUUCAACCCUCACAGCGCCGCCGUUCUCAGCCCUUCUCCGUCGCGCGGCCAGCCGCCGGUCCGCCGAGCCGCCGUUGUUCAAGCAUCGCUAGCCGGCCACCUCUACCCUCUUCCCACUCAGGGAUUGUUGGAAAUUCGAGGCUAGGGUCUUAAAAUUUGAAGGUAUUUGGGGACAAUUCGCUGCGAUUCAUAUAUAACUAGGGGAGGAUUAUUUUUGUGACAGCAAUGAGGCACAAUGUCGAGAGAAUUUAUGGAAAGGUUUAAAAAAAAGUGAAGACCUCGGCAUAAGAUGAUAUAACUAGCCCAUCACAUUCAGAAUAUAUUGACAUAUGUCGUCAUCUGAUCAUAUUUGUUUUCAUUGUUUGGAGUUCUUAUGCUUAAUUGUUCAAAUUUACAUAAUCAAUUAGUAUUUCAAGUGGAAGUGAACAAUUUAUUUUGGUAAGAAAUCUUGUUGCCAUAUAA
Long non-coding RNA from Aegilops tauschii subsp. strangulata, 535 nucleotides. RefSeq lists it as uncharacterized. NCBI's taxonomy places the organism in Eukaryota, Viridiplantae, Streptophyta, Magnoliopsida, Poales, Poaceae. The record is from RefSeq and is a predicted model, not a curated record.